AUCUUGCCGUUUUCGCUAAGA
This 21-nucleotide non-coding RNA is filed under the name Arabidopsis thaliana (thale cress). The record is from RNAcentral. Lineage: Eukaryota; Viridiplantae; Streptophyta; Magnoliopsida; Brassicales; Brassicaceae.